CGUAAUACGGAGGGUGCGAGCGUUAAUCGGAAUUACUGGGCGUAAAGCGCAUGCAGGUGGUUUGUUAAGUCAGAUGUGAAAGCCCGGGGCUCAACCUCGGAAUUGCAUUUGAAACUGGCAAACUAGAGUACUGUAGAGGGGGUAGAAUUUCAGGUGUAGCGGUGAAAUGCGUAGAGAUCUGAAGGAAUACCGGUGGCGAAGGCGGCCCCCUGGACAGAUACUGACACUCAGAUGCGAAAGCGUGGGGAGCAAACAGGAUUAGAUACCCUGGUAG
This 274-nucleotide ribosomal RNA is filed under the name uncultured bacterium. RNAcentral describes it as "partial 16S ribosomal RNA". It matches the Rfam family "Bacterial small subunit ribosomal RNA", at positions 519 to 793 of the family's 1533-position model. The record is from RNAcentral.